AGAGUUUGAUCCUGGCUCAGGAUGAACGCUAGCUACAGGCUUAACACAUGCAAGUCGAGGGGAAACGACAUCGAAAGCUUGCUUUCGAUGGGCGUCGACCGGCGCACGGGUGAGUAACGCGUAUCCAACCUGCCCAUCACUUGGGGAUAACCUUGCGAAAGUAAGACUAAUACCCAAUGACGUCUCUAGAAGACAUCUGAAGGAGAUUAAAGAUUUAUCGGUGAUGGAUGGGGAUGCGUCUGAUUAGCUUGUUGGCGGGGUAACGGCCCACCAAGGCGACGAUCAGUAGGGGUUCUGAGAGGAAGGUCCCCCACAUUGGAACUGAGACACGGUCCAAACUCCUACGGGAGGCAGCAGUGAGGAAUAUUGGUCAAUGGGCGAGAGCCUGAACCAGCCAAGUAGCGUGCAGGAUGACGGCCCUAUGGGUUGUAAACUGCUUUUAUAAGGGAAUAAAGUGAGCCUCGUGAGGCUUUUUGCAUGUACCUUAUGAAUAAGGACCGGCUAAUUCCGUGCCAGCAGCCGCGGUAAUACGGAAGGUCCGGGCGUUAUCCGGAUUUAUUGGGUUUAAAGGGAGCGUAGGCCGGAGAUUAAGCGUGUUGUGAAAUGUAGACGCUCAACGUCUGCACUGCAGCGCGAACUGGUUUCCUUGAGUACGCACAAAGUGGGCGGAAUUCGUGGUGUAGCGGUGAAAUGCUUAGAUAUCACGAAGAACUCCGAUUGCGAAGGCAGCUCACUGGAGCGCAACUGACGCUGAAGCUCGAAAGUGCGGGUAUCGAACAGAAUUAGAUACCCUGGUAGUCCGCACGGUAAACGAUGGAUGCCCGCUGUUGGUCUGAAUAGGUCAGCGGCCAAGCGAAAGCAUUAAGCAUCCCACCUGGGGAGUACGCCGGCAACGGUGA
This 899-nucleotide ribosomal RNA is filed under the name uncultured bacterium. Its description in RNAcentral is "bacterial SSU rRNA". It matches the Rfam family "Bacterial small subunit ribosomal RNA", at positions 8 to 897 of the family's 1533-position model. The record is from RNAcentral.